Molecule: long non-coding RNA, 294 nt
Filed under: Elaeis guineensis (African oil palm)
Lineage: Eukaryota; Viridiplantae; Streptophyta; Magnoliopsida; Arecales; Arecaceae
Description: long non-coding RNA (EGUI_LNC071583)
Source: RNAcentral
GAGGCGCAUUCUUUCAACAAGGGGAGGUUUGAACCAAUGGGAACAAUAGUACUUUUAUGAAAGUUAAUGGAGAAUCUUGAGAUCAAUUCAAAAGAGUAAAGUAGAACCUUGGGAGCAGAAAUAUUAAUCUUAUCAGCUUCAACAAAGAUAAGCGUAUCAUCAGUAUAUUAAAGUAUCUUAAUUAGAGCCACCAACAGACCAAGCAUUAUUGAGGCUAGAGAAGAGAUUAGCAGAGGCUGUAUUGUUCAAAAGCUGGCCAAGGGAUCUACAAUAAGAAUAAAGAGAUAAGGAACA